GAUGAACGCUGGCGGCGUGCCUAAUACAUGCAAGUCGAGCGAACGGACGAGAAGCUUGCUUUUCUGAUGUUAGCGGCGGACGGGUGAGUAACACGUGGAUAACCUACCUAUAAGACUGGGAUAACUUCGGGAAACCGGAGCUAAUACCGGAUAAUAUUUUGAACCGCAUGCUUCAAAAGUGAAAGACGGUCUUGCCGUCACUUAUAGAUGGAUCCGCGCUGCAUUAGCUAGUUGGUAAGGUAACGGCUUACCAAGGCAACGAUGCAUAGCCGACCUGAGAGGGUGAUCGGCCACACUGGAACUGAGACACGGUCCAGACUCCUACGGGAGGCAGCAGUAGGGAAUCUUCCGCAAUGGGCGAAAGCCUGACGGAGCAACGCCGCGUGAGUGAUGAAGGUCUUCGGAUCGUAAAACUCUGUUAUUAGGGAAGAACAUAUGUGUAAGUAACUGUGCACAUCUUGACGGUACCUAAUCAGAAAGCCACGGCUAACUACGUG
This 497-nucleotide ribosomal RNA is filed under the name uncultured bacterium. Its description in RNAcentral is "partial 16S ribosomal RNA". It matches the Rfam family "Bacterial small subunit ribosomal RNA", at positions 28 to 507 of the family's 1533-position model. The record is from RNAcentral.